UGCCUAUAAAUCAAUAAUACAACUUUCAGCAACGGAUCUCUUGGCUCUCGCAUCGAUGAAGAACGCAGCGAAUUGCGAUAAGUAAUGUGAAUUGCAGAAUUCAGUGAAUCAUCGAAUCUUUGAACGCACCUUGCGCUCUUUGGUAUUCCGAAGAGCAUGCCUGUUUGAGUGUCAUUAAAUUCUCAACCCACUACAUUUGUUUAUCAAGUGAAGUGCGUGUUGGAUGUGGGGGUUUUGCGGGCUUCAUUCAGUUGAAGUCGGCUCUCCUGAAAUGCAUUAGCGUGAAUCUUUGUUGAACCCGCUUCUAUUAGGUGUGAUAAUUAUCUACGCCUUUGAAAAAAGGGGGUUCAGCACUUGAGUUUGGCAACAAACUGAAGGUUCUGCUUCUAAUGGUCCAUUCAUUUGGACAAUACUUUGACAUUUG
Molecule: ribosomal RNA, 424 nt
Filed under: Cyathus triplex
Lineage: Eukaryota; Fungi; Basidiomycota; Agaricomycetes; Agaricales; Nidulariaceae
Description: eukaryotic LSU rRNA
Rfam family: 5.8S ribosomal RNA (bases 21-174)
Source: RNAcentral